AAAAAAAAAGAGUAGAACGGUGGAAAAAAAAAUGUGGAGGACACCGAGCUGAUGCGGGGGAGGGGAGGCAGCGCCGGGAGGGCCUCCGCUGGCCCGGCGGCGGACCUUGGCGUCGGGGGAGCGGCUAGAAUCGAGUUCUUUCCGGCUUCGGCUGUUUUUUCACCUAUGAUGCGGAUUUAGAUUCCGAUACAUACAUCAUUCCCCCUUCAGGCUUGCUUGGAUACACCAUAGUCCAAUUUGACCUUUUGGAUUGGAAGGGAUUUUAGUUCAAUUUCACUGUUCGUUCGAUGGGAUUGAGAGAUCCAAUCAGCUUAGAGUGUGCCCAAACAGGCUACAGGAUUCACAGUACUGUUGUGCAACUUUACACGAUGGCAUAAAGAUUGGAAGCCAAAUCUUUGAUGGAAUCUAUGACUGUUUUGUCAUAGGCAAGCUUUGGUUAGAUCAGUUCCUUGUUCGUUUGGCCUCAUGUAUCUUCCAGGCUAGCAACUCAUAGGCGUGAAAUUCAGGCGUUCACAGCACAGUAAGUUUGUCCAUGGGCAAAAGUAUGUCUGUUCACCCAUUAUGGGACAGGUAAAUUUUGAAGAAAAAAAAAUCCUACCUUUCAUAUUCUGUUAGCUGAAAUGUUAAACUAUACACUAUUCUACUCUGGUGUAAUUUAUCCUUUAGAUUAAUUGACCAGUUAUUGUCCAUA
Triticum aestivum (bread wheat) is the source of this 691-nucleotide long non-coding RNA. RefSeq lists it as uncharacterized. The record is from RefSeq and is a predicted model, not a curated record. The transcript is spliced from 2 exons. Lineage: Eukaryota; Viridiplantae; Streptophyta; Magnoliopsida; Poales; Poaceae.